GCAUAUCAAUAAGCGGAGGAAAAGAAACCAACAGGGAUUGCCCUUAGUAACGGCGAAGUGAAGCGGCAACAGCUCUUGCUGUCGAUCUGGCUUUGGUCCGAUUGUAAUUUGUAGAGGAUGAUUUUGGUGCGGUACUUUCCGAGUUCCCUGGAACGGGACGCCUUAGAGGGUGAGAGCCCCGUACGGUUGGAUGCCUAGCCUCUGUAAAUCUCCUUCGACGAGUCGAGUAGUUUGGGAAUGCUGCUCUAAAUGGGAGGUAAAUUUCUUCUAAAGCUAAAUACUAGCCAGAGACCGAUAGCGCACAAGUAGAGUGAUCGAAAGAUGAAAAGCACUUUGAAAAGAGGGUUAAAAAGCACGUGAAAUUGUUGAAAGGGAAGCGUUUAUGACCAGACUUUUUCUAGGCGGAUCAUCCGGUGUUCUCACCGGUGCACUUCGCCUAGUUUAGGCCAGCAUCGGUUUCUGUAGGGAGAUAAAAGCUUCAGGAAUGUGGCUCCCCCGGGAGUGUUAUAGCCUGUUGUAUAAUAUCCUUAUAGGGACCGAGGUACGCGCUCUGCAAGGAUGCUGGCAUAAUGGUCAUCAACGACCCGUCUUGAAACACGGACCCAAGGAGUAAGACAUUUGUGCGAGUGUUUGGGUGUUAAACCCUCACGCGUAAUGAAAGUGAACGGAGGUGAGAGCCUUUUGGUGCAUCAUCGACCGAUCCUGAUGUCUUCGGAUGGAUUUGAGUAGGAGCAUAACUGUUCGGACCCGAAAGAUGGUGAACUAUGCGUGGAUAGGGUGAAGCCAGAGGAAACUCUGGUGGAGGCUCGCAGCGGUUCUGACGUGCAAAUCGAUCGUCAAAUCUGCGCAUGGGGGCGAAAGACUAAUCGAACCAUCUAGUAGCUGGUACCG
This 891-nucleotide ribosomal RNA is filed under the name Subulispora procurvata. RNAcentral describes it as "partial large subunit ribosomal RNA". It matches the Rfam family "Eukaryotic large subunit ribosomal RNA", at positions 38 to 959 of the family's 3401-position model. The record is from RNAcentral. Lineage: Eukaryota; Fungi; Ascomycota.